AUUCCAGAACACUGCUACGAUUGUCUGAAUGUUUGUUCCUCAAAUAGGAUUCUAGAAUGCUCCUGCUGUGGUCUGAAUGUUUGUCCCUCACAUAGGAUUCCUGAACACUGCUAUGAGGUUCUGAGUGUUUAUACCUCAGAUAGGAUUCCAAAAUACUCUUGCUAUUUUCUGAGAGUUUGUCCCUCCCAUAGGAUUCCAGAACAUUGCUGCUGGGGUCUGAAUGUUUGUCCCUCACAUAGGAUUCCAGAACACUGCUAGGAUUGUCUGAAUGUUUGUGUCUCACACAGGAUUCCAUAAUACUCCUGCUGUGUUCUGAAUAUUUGUACGUCACAUAGGAUUCCUGAACACUACUACGAGAUUCUGAAUGUUUGUUGCUCACAUAGGAUUCCAAAAUGUCCCUGCUGUGUUCUGAGUGUUUGUCCCUCACAUAGGGUCACUGCUGCUGGGUUCUCAGUGUUUCUCACUCACAUAGAAUUCCAGAACACUGCAAAGAGGUUCUGAAUGUUUUUCUGUAACAUAGUAUUCCAGAACACUCUCGCUGUUUUUUGAAUGUUUGUCCCUCACAUAGGAUUCCAGAACACUUCUGCUGGUGUCUGAAAGUUUGUCCCUCACACAGGAUUCCAGAACACUGCUACGAGGGUCUGAAUGUUUUUCCCUCACAAAGGGUUCCAGAACAAAGCUGUUGGAGUCAUAAUGUUUGUCUGUCACACAGGAUUCUAGAACACUGCUACGAGGUUAUGAAUGUUUGUUCCUCAAAGGGUUUUUCAGAACACUCCUGUUGUUGUCUGAAUGUGUGUCCCUCACACAGGAUUCCAGAACACUGCUACGAGGUUCUGAAUGUUUCUCCCUUACAUAGAAUUCCAGAACACUGCUACCAAUGUCUGAAUGUUUGUCUCUCACAUAGGAUUCCAGAACACUGCUACGAUUGUCUGAAAGUUUGUCGCUCACAUAGGAUUCCAGAACACUGCUACGAUUGUCUGAAAGUUUGUCCCUCACAUAGGAUUCCAGAACGCUGCUAUGAGGGUCUGAAUGUUUGUCCCUCAUGCAGAGUACCAGAACACUGCUUCGAGGGUCUGAAUGAUUGUCCCUCACAUAGGAUUCCAGAACACGGCUGCUGGGGUCUCAAUGUUUGUGCCACACAUAGGAUUCCAGAAUACGGCUGCUGGGGUCCACUUGUAAGUCCGUCACAAUGGAUUCCAGAACACAGCUGCUGGGUUCUGAGUGUUUCUCCCUCACUUGGAAUUUCAGAACACUGAUAUGAGGGUCUGAAAGUUUUUCUGUUACUUAGGACUCCAGGGCUUUCCCUCUGUUGUUUGAAUGUUUGUCCCUCACAGAGGAUUCCAGAAAAAUGCUACGAUUGUAUGAAUGUUUGUCCCCCACAUAUGAUUAAAGAACACUGCGAAGAGGGUCUGAAUGUUUGUCUGAAACAUAGGUUUCCCAAACA
This 1444-nucleotide long non-coding RNA is filed under the name Homo sapiens (human). RNAcentral describes it as "non-protein coding lnc-ANKRD20A2-21:1". Lineage: Eukaryota; Metazoa; Chordata; Mammalia; Primates; Hominidae. The record is from RNAcentral.